AAGGAGGAUGCCUCCUUAUUUCUUUGCGCACACCUCUCUUAACUAACUCACGGUGAUUUAGUUUUUUUUUUUCCUUUUUGCACAAAAGAAUUAAGACCAGCAUAAUCACUAGUGUUAAGGUGCUGGCCCUUUUAUAUUUGACAUCCCACAAAUCAGAUCAAAGUCCUAAAGUGGUUAGGAUUCCAAACCAUAUCCAAAGAUGAAACCGCAUG
This 212-nucleotide long non-coding RNA is filed under the name Elaeis guineensis (African oil palm). RNAcentral's name for it is "long non-coding RNA (EGUI_LNC050716)". Lineage: Eukaryota; Viridiplantae; Streptophyta; Magnoliopsida; Arecales; Arecaceae. The record is from RNAcentral.